Paramuricea clavata is the source of this 1293-nucleotide non-coding RNA. The record is from the annotation of a GenBank genome assembly. Lineage: Eukaryota; Metazoa; Cnidaria; Anthozoa; Malacalcyonacea; Plexauridae.
UUAAAAUUGUGUCUCUCGCAGGUGAUUUUUUGUCCAACUUGCUGCAUAUUUCGCCGUACACGGACAUAUCACAAAAUAUAUGAAAUCUACAAAUCGUUUAGUUGUUUACAUUUGCCAAGGAGACGCAAAGUGCCGGGGAAUAUUUCCCCGGUAGUUAGUUAGGAAUCUGUCCAAUUAGCAUCCAGUAAUCAACAAGAGUUCAAUUUCCCGACCGGGAUAAGUAUUUUCCCGCUCUUUUCUUCAAUUUUUUGUUGAGAUUUUGUACUUCAGGUUUCAGCACAAAAUUUUCUUGAUUAAAUGUGGAUUUUUUACAGAAAAAAGGCCAGAAGAGUACCGGUGUUCUGGUUUAGAAUAUAUAUUUGAAGGUAAGGUUGUGUCUUAUGGACUUUUAUGUUAUAUUUUUGGUAUAUUGCAUUCAAUUUUUUUACAAACAAACCUGUGGCGGUUUCGCGUUUAAACAGGCUGAACACACGGCGACUGUCCAGGCUGUCAACAUUUAAAAUCCUUCUAGUGCAGAUUGGAAUAGUAUUUCUUAAUUCUUUUAAGACUGAAAUGGACCUUCAGCAACUUUUACAUGAUGUGCCAGGCGAGUUUUUUCCAGAAGGAAGGCAGCCUUUCUUGAGAAAGACGGUUCAAAGACCAAGAGUCCAAGUAUUAUUGAAAAUAGCAGUUUACCCCACUGUCAAAUAAACCAGGACGAAAUCUGCCCUGUUUUUCAUAAAAAUUAGCUUCUGUUUGUGUAUAAAAUUUAUAAAAUGCAAUACAUUUAUAGUCAAAAGAGGACAACCUUUGAAACGUGAUGAAGGUUUUAUAUUUUAGAAUCUGAUAUAAGUUUUUUAUAUUAUUCAGUAGAAGAAGAAUUGGUCAUAGCUUUCUUGGUAGUGAUGGCUCGAGCUUCAAAUAAUAAGGUGAAAAACUAUUAUUUUUAUUCACUGCAGAGUAUGAGCUAUGGUAUCUAAUAUGGGGCCUGGAUAUGUAUUCCCUUCCAAAUUUUUCCUUUUUCCCCCACAAAGAUUUCACCAUGUUUCCUUGUUUUCCCAACUUUAUGGUCCCUUGUUUUUUAUCAUUUUUUCUUCAAAUUCUGAUUGCAAAAUAUGCAUUGUUCUCUGGUUUCCUAAAACCAGCCCUGGGAGACCCUCAGUACAGUCUCACAAUUAUUUGGUGUUAAGAAUUUUAGGACCCAAAGGCAACUGACAAUGGCUUCCUCUUCAUAUUUCCAUUUCAGAACCAUGAAAAACUAGUUUGAUAUAAAUAUUAUAAUAUGAAAUAAGUUCCUCUAUGAACAUUGCCAGG